Molecule: transfer RNA, 82 nt
Filed under: Acidimicrobiia bacterium
Lineage: Bacteria; Bacillati; Actinomycetota; Acidimicrobiia
Also listed under: 1 other name
Description: tRNA-Tyr
Rfam family: tRNA
About the family: Transfer RNA (tRNA) molecules are approximately 80 nucleotides in length.
Source: RNAcentral
GGGUCGGUGCCCGAGCGGCCAAAGGGAGCAGACUGUAAAUCUGCCGGCACAGCCUUCGAUGGUUCGAAUCCAUCCCGGCCCA